UACGGAGGGGGCUAGCGUUGUUCGGAAUUACUGGGCGUAAAGCGCACGUAGGCGGACCAGAAAGUUGGGGGUGAAAUCCCGGGGCUCAACCCCGGAACUGCCUUUGAUACUGUUAGUCUUGAGUAUGGAAGAGGUGAGUGGAAUUCCGAGUGUAGAGGUGAAAUUCGUAGAUAUUCGGAGGAACACCAGUGGCGAAGGCGGCUCACUGGUCCAUUACUGACGCUGAGGUGCGAAAGCGUGGGGAGCAAACAGG
This 253-nucleotide ribosomal RNA is filed under the name uncultured bacterium. RNAcentral describes it as "partial 16S ribosomal RNA". It matches the Rfam family "Bacterial small subunit ribosomal RNA", at positions 524 to 776 of the family's 1533-position model. The record is from RNAcentral.